AUCCCAUGAUGCGGGCACUUUUGAAGAAACUACUUAAACCUUUCCCAAGCAUCAUAUAGAGACUCCCCCUCCACUGAUGGAAAUUAUUAAUCUCUCCCCUAAUCUGGGU
This is a small nucleolar RNA of Humulus lupulus (European hop), 109 nucleotides long. NCBI's taxonomy places the organism in Eukaryota, Viridiplantae, Streptophyta, Magnoliopsida, Rosales, Cannabaceae. The record is from RefSeq and is a predicted model, not a curated record.